CCGCUUUUAUGCAUAACAACUAGGCAACUCUGCUCUCUGUUGUUUUUUCAUUUUUCGCUCUUUUCUGCUGUCAGUUUUUCUGUCUCGCUAUUCCAAUGCUCACCGAAUAGCAGCGUAUGCACAACAACAAAUGACGUAGUGAUGUCAUCAGAAAUUAUUUAGUUUUUCUUUUCAUCCAAUUGUUCGUGAGUGUUAAAUUUUCUUUCGUGUGAAUUUUUCUGAAGAAGUUGUAUAGACAUUGGAUAUUGUGUGAAGCAGAUAAAAACGACGCGGCGGACAACAAUAAAAAAAUAACAAAUAAAUAUGUUCUAUUAAAAAGGUGCAAGUGAAUUUAUGUUAAAAUGAUUUCUUUAAAGAAGCAAAGCCCCAAUUCCUUGUUACACACUUUGUGAAUAUAAAAGCAGAGUGUAGCUAACAAGUAUUGGAAAUAAAAUACGCCAAAAACCAUCCACCUAAUUACAAACCGACCAAGUGAAAAGUGCAAUGUUGAACGAAGAAGUGAAAAGUAAUUUGCAACAAUGAAAAACAUAAAAUUUUUGAAUAAAUUAAAGCCAACAUG
Long non-coding RNA from Stomoxys calcitrans (stable fly), 559 nucleotides. RefSeq lists it as uncharacterized. The record is from RefSeq and is a predicted model, not a curated record. NCBI's taxonomy places the organism in Eukaryota, Metazoa, Arthropoda, Insecta, Diptera, Muscidae. The transcript is spliced from 2 exons.